RNAcentral lists this ribosomal RNA (170 nucleotides) under uncultured Alphaproteobacteria bacterium. RNAcentral's name for it is "partial 16S ribosomal RNA". It matches the Rfam family "Bacterial small subunit ribosomal RNA", at positions 338 to 525 of the family's 1533-position model. The record is from RNAcentral. Lineage: Bacteria; Pseudomonadati; Pseudomonadota; Alphaproteobacteria.
CCUACGGGAGGCAGCAGUGGGGAAUCUUAGACAAUGGGGGAAACCCUGAUCUAGCCAUGCCGCGUGAGUGAUGAAGGCCCUAGGGUCGUAAAGCUCUUUCACCAGGGAUGAUAAUGACAGUACCUGGAAAAGAAACCCCGGCUAACUCCGUGCCAGCAGCCGCGGUAAUA